UACGGGGGGGGCAAGCGUUGUUCGGAAUUACUGGGCGUAAAGGGCUCGUAGGCGGCCAACUAAGUCAGACGUGAAAUCCCUCGGCUUAACCGGGGAACUGCGUCUGAUACUGGAUGGCUUGAGGUUGGGAGAGGGAUGCGGAAUUCCAGGUGUAGCGGUGAAAUGCGCAGAUAUCAGGAAGAACACCUAUGGCGAAGGCAGCUCUCUGGGACGGUACUGACGCUGAGACGCGAAAGCGUGGGGAGCAAACAGG
RNAcentral lists this ribosomal RNA (253 nucleotides) under uncultured bacterium. RNAcentral's name for it is "partial 16S ribosomal RNA". It matches the Rfam family "Bacterial small subunit ribosomal RNA", at positions 524 to 776 of the family's 1533-position model. The record is from RNAcentral.